UACGUAGGGGCCUAGCGUUGUCCGGAUUUAUUGGGCGUAAAGAGCUCGUAGGCGGCUUGGUAAGUCAGGUGUGAAAUCUCCACGCUCAACGUGGAGGGGCCACCCGAAACUGCCAUGGCUUGAGUCCGGUAGGGGAGUGUGGAAUUCCCGGUGUAGCGGUGGAAUGCGCAGAUAUCAGGAGGAACACCGGUGGCGAAGGCGGGAUCCUGGGCCAGUACUGACGCUGAGGAGCGAAAGCGUGGGGAGCAAACAGGG
Molecule: ribosomal RNA, 255 nt
Filed under: uncultured bacterium
Lineage: Bacteria
Description: partial 16S ribosomal RNA
Rfam family: Bacterial small subunit ribosomal RNA
Source: RNAcentral